Molecule: ribosomal RNA, 377 nt
Filed under: uncultured eukaryote
Lineage: Eukaryota
Description: partial 18S ribosomal RNA
Rfam family: Eukaryotic small subunit ribosomal RNA
Source: RNAcentral
CAAUAGCGUAUAUUUAAGUUGCUGCAGUUAAAAAGCUCGUAGUUGGAUUUCGGGUGGGAAUGGCCGGUCCGCCGUUUCGGUGUGCACUUGCUACGCCCACCUUGCUGCCGGGGACGUGCUCUUGAGUUCACGCUCGGGACAUGGAGUCGGCGAGGUUACUUUGAGUAAAUUAGAGUGUUCAAAGCAGGCCUACGCUCUGAAUACAUUAGCAUGGAAUAACACGAUAGGACUCUGGCCUAUCUUGUUGGUCUGUAGGACCGGAGUAAUGAUUAAGAGGGACAGUCGGGGGCAUUCGUAUUUCAUUGUCAGAGGUGAAAUUCUUGGAUUUAUGAAAGACGAACUACUGCGAAAGCAUUUGCCAAGGAUGUUUUCAUUAA